AAGUAUGAAUUUUGGUGUGUUACUUGAACAGUUCUAGAUUUGUGCCUGUUUAAAAUAAAAAAACUGGCUGAUUUUUUCAACCAAGUGUUAUGAGAUCUAGAAUUAUACACAAUACAUAUAUUAACAAAACUCAGAUCAAGUACUAAUUUGGGUAGCGUCACUUUUACUGUUUGCAAAACUUUGAAUUUUUUUAAGACUUAUAAAAAAGAAGAUGUGGUAUGAUUGCCAAUGAGACAACUAUCCACAAAAGACCAAAAUGACACACUCAUUAACAACUAUAGGUCACCGUACGGCCUUCAACAAUGAGCAGAGCCCAUACCGCAUAGUAAGCUAUAAAAGGCUCCGAUAAGACAAUGUAAAACAAUUGAAACGAGAAAAUUAAUGCCCUUAUUUAUGUAAAAAAAUGAACGAAAAACAAAAUAAUGUAACAUAUAAACAAACGACACCACUGAAUUACAGGCUCCUGACUUGGGACAGGCACAUACACAGAGCUCCAGAUAAGCUGCGUAUUUGCGUAAUCACGCAAUAAAAAUCAGAAAAAAAACAAUGCAAUUGCCCAUUGCAGGGUUUAAGUAACCCAAUUCAUUCACAGGAA
Molecule: long non-coding RNA, 595 nt
Filed under: Mytilus galloprovincialis (Mediterranean mussel)
Lineage: Eukaryota; Metazoa; Mollusca; Bivalvia; Mytilida; Mytilidae
Source: RNAcentral